Zingiber officinale is the source of this 1798-nucleotide long non-coding RNA. RefSeq lists it as uncharacterized. The record is from RefSeq and is a predicted model, not a curated record. The transcript is spliced from 2 exons. Lineage: Eukaryota; Viridiplantae; Streptophyta; Magnoliopsida; Zingiberales; Zingiberaceae.
GAGUUGCCCUCUCUCUUCAGAAAAUGGCUUUACCCAUCUCUGAGUUGGAAGGUGAUGGCAUUCUCCUCAAUCAAGCGGUUCUCCAAGGCGGAAGGAGCAAGCAAGGGUGAAGUUAAAGGGCUUUAUAUGGUAUAGGGUUCUAUUCCAAGCGAGAUCACAAAAGAAUCACUUUCGGUCAUGUGCAUAACCUGGGCCAAGACAAGAAUGUCUAUUCGUUCUUACCUUACGAAGGAAGGCGACCAAUGUCAAACUCAAGCCUUGCCAGCAGAAUAUGGAGCUUCCUUAGUUAGGAGGCUACCGACCUCUAUGUGGUGGACGGUUUAUGCCUUGUCGAUCUUGCUCCUUGAAUGAAGCCUUCCUCACCUUAUCAAUAAAUAGGUAUGUUUGGAGCGGGGAAAGUGAACUACUCCUUACCGUAUUAUCACCUUGCUUCUUAUUCCCUGUCCUCCACAAUGAGAAAGAUAAUUGCGUGGAACGUAAGGGGGCCGCUAGGCCCAAUAAAAGAAGCUGGGCUCGUUGUGCCAGUUUCUUUCUUAUCUGUCAGAUGGGAAGAACUAGUUUGGGUUCAGAAUGGGCCUAACAAAAAAAGACAAAGAGGCGUAUAUACUAAGAGUAGCUUUCCCAUGAGCACAUGAAAUAUAUUAUAUGAGUAAGGUUCUUCCCGGAAGAACGGAAAGAGAAGCGAAGGGGCGAAGAGUUGAGCCGAAGGGGCGAAGAGCUGAACGUAAGGGAAGGGGCCUGGAAAGUUUUUCUAAAUCUGCUGAGAGGGGCUAGCUAUCAGCUAUAAGAACAGCUGAAGAUCGGCUUCAUAAGGGAAUCCCUACCAUCUCUUAUUUACAGAACUGUGCCAACGUGUGCCUACAUUCUGAGUAUAUUUGAUUUAGGGAAGAGAGAUUUAUUGAAUAGAAAGAAUGAAACCAGUACCAGCAACUCGCCAACCGUGCUUCCUACCAACUCCGCCCCCCCUAGUAAGGAGAACUCUGGUUGCGCGGCUUUUUCUUAUGGGGGUCUCUUUUCUCUGACUUCACUCAGCUUUACCUACUUGACUCAGCGGUUAGAGUCUCGCUUUCAUACGGCGAGAGUCAUUGGUUCAAAUCCAAUAGUAGGUCAAACCGGCCAAAAGCCCUGCUUUUUCCAGCAUGACAGCAAGCAAGCAAUAAAAGUCAGAGGAAAAGAUCCAAGCUAGCUCAAGCCCCGAAAGAAAUCUAUCUCUUUUGACCCCAUUGAGAAAAAGCGAUCUCGAUACGAUCUGUCUAAACCAAUCUAUCACUGGCACUGGAAUGAACCAUUCGUUACUAGUAUACUGGGCAGCGUGAUCAAGUCAAGUCCUUCUCUUACCAGAUUGAAAUUCGAUUAAUGUGAGCUCGUAUGGGAGUAGAAGGCACUACUUUCCCCUUCCCCCGAUCUUUAUAAUCAAAGGUGUGUGCUCCAUACUUGUCAAAAGUUAUUGCUCAUAUACUGGAGAAAGCAGACGAACUCUUCUUUGCUCAAGCUUAUGCUCGUACCUUGUCCUGGCAGCUCUUUCAACGUCUGAUAGUUCAAAGACGGAGAAGGGAUGAUUUUCUUGACUUUCAUUUAAAGCAGGCGCCUUUGGCUUGAAGAAGCAUAUCCUUGGCCCGAAGAAAGGGAGGCGUGGAAGCCUUUGUCAUGGAACUGCUGAAGAAAGUUGGUGCAGAGGCUCUCAUCGCGUAACUGCCGAAGAAGCGGAGCGGAUUCGGAUGAGGCUGCUUAUGCGCGUGCGGAUUUUCCUCGUGUAACUGCCUAGUUCUAGCCCCCCUUGGCGGGAGGGGUUUAGGUA